Long non-coding RNA from Rosa rugosa (rugosa rose), 1526 nucleotides. RefSeq lists it as uncharacterized. The transcript is spliced from 3 exons. The record is from RefSeq and is a predicted model, not a curated record. NCBI's taxonomy places the organism in Eukaryota, Viridiplantae, Streptophyta, Magnoliopsida, Rosales, Rosaceae.
ACGAACUAUCUUCUUGAAGAAUGCUGUAUUUCGGAUUGUUAUGUGCGUCCUACUUCUAUUUCGGCGAUAUGAAAUUUCGAGGACGAAAUUUUUAUAAGGAGGGGAGAUUGUAACGUCCCGAACCCAAAUUCACCGGUUUACUAGUCAUUUGGACAGUAAACGGUAAUUUGUUUUACUUUUACUCUUUUUCAGCAACUUUAGUGGCCCUAAAAGUUGACUUUUUGUUCGGGUCAAAAUUUGGGAAACUGUUCUUCAUGGAAGUCGUAGAGGACGUUAAACCGAGCGCGUGCAUAUGUUGUGCGUAAAAAUCGGAGUUCGUAUGUGAAAGUUAUAAGUGAAAAUGUGAAUUUACUGUUCAUGGUAACUCUCUAUAUAUAAGGAAACUUACCGAGGUAAGUUCCCAUUUCAGAACUUACCCUGACCCUCUCUCUCUCCUCUUCCUCUUCCCCGCGUCGCCCUCCCUUUUUCUUUUUCCGAUUUCUUCACCGUUCGGCGUCCGAUUGAUGUGAUUCCAGUUGUCCUUGGACCGUCUCUUCCUCCUCUAUACGAUGGUAUCAGUGGGUAUCGGUGAUUUGGCCGGAAAACCCCGAAUUUAUGCAAUCAUCGUUACUGUAGCAAUUUGCUUCUCCGGUGAAAUUCUCCAGUUUUCGGCUAUCUCCGGCGGGAAAAUUGGUUCUAUUAGGAGCGCCUCGAGUCACUGAUCAUCUUCCCUCAAGACUUCUAGCUGAAAUUUCCACGUUUGGAAGGUGAAUUUGAAGGAUUUCCAAAUUGGUGGGUUUGGAGAUUUUCGGGUUUGUGUUCAUCGGCAAAAUUGGAGCACUUCAAGGAUGUCGUACCGAGCCCUGGCUCGAUGAAGGAACUUGUAUACGUGAUCGUCGGAAUAGUACUUGUGCAGGAGAAAUUAGUUGAGGUCGGGCGUACAUGGAGUCGAGGCAUAGUCAACAGUAUGGCUUCCGCGAUUGCCUUGAAUUAGGUUUUCCUCAUUUACCUUUCUAUUAGAAUUGCUCUGAUUACCUGCGGAAUUAAGGUUAUUAAGUUGAGAUUUGUGUGUUGUGAUUUUGGUUGAUGUUGUUUGGGGGAGCAGGGUGGCUCCAAGAGAAUAAGGAUGGGUGAUUUAGAAGUGUAAAUUCUCUUUCUACAGGUUUUGGGUUGUCCACUUUAGGGGAAGUUCUGCCUAAUUUUUGGCAAAAUUUCUUCUAAGGUGGGCCCCGCAGGUCCACUUCGGAUUUCAGGGUGAAAUUCGGGGCGGGUCCUGUCACAAAGUGGGUCAAAGUCAAAACAUCAACAAAAUUGGCUGAUUAUAGUAUACUGUACUCAUCUCAUCCAGCGGGUCGGUUUUUCUUUAUCCAUAUGUCUCGAUAUGGUUUCCCUUUGUGGAACCUAAUGUAUAUAUAUAUAUAGGGCUCUUAGGUACCAUUUACCCAAAUUGGGCCUAAUAAAUGCUCACUUACUCCACGAAAAGAUUUGUGUGCCAACUUACUCAAUUUAAAUGUAAAAAAAAUGUUUGCCCUUUAAAUAAUUAAAAA